Molecule: ribosomal RNA, 473 nt
Filed under: uncultured archaeon
Lineage: Archaea
Description: bacterial SSU rRNA
Rfam family: Archaeal small subunit ribosomal RNA
Source: RNAcentral
UUCCGGUUGAUCCCGCCGGACCUGACUGCUAUCGGAUUGAUACUAAGCCAUGCGAGUCAUUGUAGUAAUACAAGGCAAGACGGCUCAGUAACGCGUAGUCAACCUAACCUAUGGACGGGAAUAACCUCGGGAAACUGAGAAUAAUGCCCGAUAGAACACUAUGCCUGGAAUGGUUUGUGUUCCAAAUGAUUUAUCAGCCGUAUGAUGGGACUGCGGCCUAUCAGUUUGUUGGUGAGGUCAAUGGCCCACCAAGACUAUUACAGGUACGGGCUCUGACAGGAGUGGCCCGGAGAUGGGUACUUGAUACACAGGACCCAGGACCCUAUGGGGCGCAGCAGGCGAGAACAACUUAGCAAUGUGACGAAACCACGACAAGGUUAAUCCAGAAGAUGGUUUCUGCUAACAGGACACCUUUAGUACGGUCCUAGAAACACCGAUGAAUAAAAGGGGUGGCGCAAGUUACUAGGUGUCAG